This 301-nucleotide unclassified non-coding RNA is filed under the name Hevea brasiliensis (rubber tree). The record is from RNAcentral. Lineage: Eukaryota; Viridiplantae; Streptophyta; Magnoliopsida; Malpighiales; Euphorbiaceae.
UGGACCCAAGGCUUGAGGGAAAAUACCCCCUAAGGUCAGCCCAAAAGCUUACAAGUAUAGCCAACCGAUGCUUAGUCAGAAACCCCAAGUCACGUCCAAAGAUGAGUGAAGUGUUGGAAAUGGUGAAUCAAAUUGCGGAUGCAUCAUCAGAAACCGCAAGUCCUCAACUAGCAUUCAGGAGUACCAUGUCUGUGGGAGCAUCACGGGACAAUACAAAAAAAAAUAAAAGAAGAAACAUAGAUUUGAAAGGCAAGGAAGGUGGUUGGUUUGCCCGGAUGUGGACUCCAAAGCUUUUAAGAAC